This 379-nucleotide ribosomal RNA is filed under the name Pelecorhynchus personatus. RNAcentral describes it as "eukaryotic LSU rRNA". It matches the Rfam family "Eukaryotic large subunit ribosomal RNA", at positions 1000 to 1371 of the family's 3401-position model. Lineage: Eukaryota; Metazoa; Arthropoda; Insecta; Diptera; Pelecorhynchidae. The record is from RNAcentral.
CUUAUCUGGUAAAGCGAAUGAUUAAAGGCCUUAGGGCCGAAACAACCUUAACCUAUUCUCAAACUUUAAAUGGGUAAGAACCUUGCAUUUCUUGAAAUGAAUGUAUAGGAAAAUUAUGAUAUAUUGUGCCCAGUGGGCCACUUUUGGUAAGCAGAACUGGCGCUGUGGGAUGAACCAAACGUUAUGUUACGGCGCCUAAAUUAACAACUCAUACUGAUACCAUGAAAGGCGUUGCUUGCUUAAAACAGCAGGACGGUGGACAUGGAAGUCGUAAUCCGCUAAGGAGUGUGUAACAACUCACCUGCCGAACCAACUAGCCCUUAAAAUGGAUGGCGCUCAAGUUGUAUGCCUAUACAUAACCGCUAAAGUAAAUGAUUUA